GUGCACGGGCUUUAACUAUGAAGUGUGCCACAAAGCUAAAUAGAAAAAAGCUUGUUGUAACAUGUUUACAGAUUUAAAAUGAGAAAAUGUAGUGUUUUUUGUAGAACACUGAAACCGUGAACUAUAGUGCCAUCACAGACCCACUGUAGAACUGACCACCUAACACCAACAAACCAACCUAAAGAGACAGUAUGAGGAAUGUAAGGAAUUAAAUGUAAACCAUGUAAAAUAUGUUGCAGACAAAUGGUUUUGGAUGAGAAAGUCUGCAGGGCAGAUCAGUCGGAGUCCAGACCGGGGGGAGAAGACGCUGAAGAUCACCAGGUAUAUGAACCUGCCGGGCCCAGAUACUCGUCUCACACACACACACACACACACACACACACACACACACACUCAGUCCAGCUUCUCCUUGUGAACCAGUUUGGGGGCGUCCACAAAGUCUUGGCCG
This is a long non-coding RNA of Sander lucioperca (pikeperch), 448 nucleotides long. RefSeq lists it as uncharacterized. The transcript is spliced from 2 exons. Lineage: Eukaryota; Metazoa; Chordata; Actinopteri; Perciformes; Percidae. The record is from RefSeq and is a predicted model, not a curated record.